AUUGAACGCUGGCGGCAGGCCUAACACAUGCAAGUCGAACGAGUGGCGGACGGGUGAGUAAUGUCUGGGAAACUGCUCGAUGGAGGGGGAUAACUACUGGAAAAGGUAGCUAAUACCGCAUACCAUCGGAUGUGCCCAGAUGGGAUUAGCUAGUAGGUGGGGUAACGGCUCACCUAGGCGACGCUCCCUAGCUGGUAGGAGAGGAUGACCAGCCACACUGGAACUGAGACACGGUCCAGACUCCUACAGUAGACAGCAGUGGGGAAUAUUGCGCAAGGGGCUCAAUCCUAAUGCAGCCAUGCCGCGUGUAUGAAGAAGGCCUUCGGGUUGUAAAGUACUUUCAGCGAGGAGGCGUUACUCGCAGAAGAAGCACCGGCUAACUCCGUGCCAGCCGCCGCGGUAAUAC
This 406-nucleotide ribosomal RNA is filed under the name uncultured bacterium. RNAcentral describes it as "partial 16S ribosomal RNA". It matches the Rfam family "Bacterial small subunit ribosomal RNA", at positions 30 to 526 of the family's 1533-position model. The record is from RNAcentral.